Molecule: long non-coding RNA, 603 nt
Organism: Ornithorhynchus anatinus (platypus)
Lineage: Eukaryota; Metazoa; Chordata; Mammalia; Monotremata; Ornithorhynchidae
Exons: 3
Source: RefSeq, a predicted model, not a curated record
UGCAUGGAGGAUUCUUAAUACUUAUAAAAUCAUUUUUAGAUACAAUGUUUGAAUUUCAUCAAAUUCAAUAAAUAAUAAGAUCCCGCCAUCUCUGGCAAAACAAGUAUCACUAAUAGAAUGAAGAAAGUAACAUCUGACAGAAUAUGCAGCAGAACAAAAAAGGUUGAAAAUGGCCUGGAACUUUGGUAGUCCUUAUUAGGCAGGCGACAACAGUUCAUUUUGGAAAGUUUUCUUCCAGCUGCCAUAACGUCGUCACAGUAGCUGAGUCAUUCAUCUGAAACCGCUGCUGGUAUAAUAUGAUAGCCAUAUAUUCCUGAAUCUGCACCUGUAUUGUGGAGCCCCUGAAUCUGGGCAAUUCAGGAGGCUCUCUCAGCCACCUCAGCAUGCCUUAUGAAUUAGGCAUGAACUCUUCUAAGAUGUGAUCAGGAAGAAGGCAGAGGAAAAAAUCCUCCUGUGUAAUGAAAACAAUCACUCCAGCAAGCCUAAGAGCAGCCUCAAGUCUCCACUAAGUUCAGGAUGGAGGAACAGAUAAAGUGGAUGACAAUAUUGUCAGCUUUGCCGCCUACCUCACCGCAGUUUGAGCUGUUAACUUUAAAAUCGGGU